Molecule: ribosomal RNA, 424 nt
Filed under: Verrucomicrobiota bacterium
Lineage: Bacteria; Pseudomonadati; Verrucomicrobiota
Description: Verrucomicrobia bacterium partial 16S ribosomal RNA
Rfam family: Bacterial small subunit ribosomal RNA
Source: RNAcentral
UGAGGAAUAUUGGUCAAUGGGCGAGAGCCUGAACCAGCCAAGUAGCGUGCAGGAUGACGGCCCUAUGGGUUGUAAACUGCUUUUAUAUGGGAAUAAAGUGAGGGACGUGUCCCUUAUUGCAUGUACCAUACGAAUAAGGCCCGGCUAAUUCCUUGCCAGCAGCCGCGGUAAUACGGAAGGUCCAGGCGUUAUCCGGAUUUAUUGGGUUUAAAGGGAGCGUAGGCUGUUUGUUAAGCGUGUUGUGAAAUGUAAGAGCUCAACUUUUAGAUUGCAGCGCGAACUGGCAGACUUGAGUGCGCACAACGUAGGCGGAAUUCAUGGUGUAGCGGUGAAAUGCUUAGAUAUCAUGACGAACUCCGAUUGCGAAGGCAGCUUACGGGAGCGCAACUGACGCUAAAGCUCGAAGGUGCGGGUAUCGAACAGG